Molecule: ribosomal RNA, 446 nt
Filed under: uncultured bacterium
Lineage: Bacteria
Description: partial 16S ribosomal RNA
Rfam family: Bacterial small subunit ribosomal RNA
Source: RNAcentral
CUACGGGGUGCACCAGUCGAGAAUCUUGGGCAAUGGGCGAAAGCCUGACCCAGCGACGCCGCGUGCUUGAAGAAGCUCUUCGGAGUGUAAAAAGCUUUUCCGGAGGAAGAACCUUCGGGUGACAUUACUCCGGGAAUAAGGGGCGCCUAAUCACGUGCCAGAAGGCUCGGUAAGACGUGAGCCCCGAACGUUAUCCGGAUUUAUUGGGCGUAAAGAGCCUUAAGGCGCCCUGUCAGGUUUCCUGUCAAAUCUUUGAUGCUUAACGUCAAAGUCGCGGGAAAAACCGAUGGGGUUGAGGACGUUAGAGGCCAGCGGAACGGCCGGUGUAGGGGUGAAAUCCGUUGAUAUCGGCCGGAACACCAAAAGCGAAGGCAGCUGGCUGGGGCGUUCCUGACGCUGUACGGCGAAAGCCAGGGUAGGGAAAAGGAUUAGAUACCCGAGUAGUC